UAUCCAUCAUCUUCUAACUGGAGGCCAUGGUUUGGGCUAGCACAGCAGACUCUCAUCAACUCAGAUCAUCGGCGACUACAUUUCCUCUCCUGGGGUGAUAAAUGAUUUCACGAUCAUAAUCCUUCAGAAGAUCAAUCCAGCAUAUUUGCCUCAUGUUUAACUCCCAUUAUGAAAAGAUGUAUUUGAGACUCUUAUCGUUACUGUAGAUUUCAAAAGUCU
RNAcentral lists this long non-coding RNA (219 nucleotides) under Carica papaya (papaya). Its description in RNAcentral is "long non-coding RNA (CPAP_LNC011874)". Lineage: Eukaryota; Viridiplantae; Streptophyta; Magnoliopsida; Brassicales; Caricaceae. The record is from RNAcentral.